AAGUUGAAAGAUCUUAUACUACUUAAAAACUUAACACAUUUAUUGUUCAUGAGCAUAUUAGCCUGUCAAAUCAAUCAUUUAUCCAAUGAUUCCGAUUGAACACGUUUAUGAAAUAUCUUGAUAAAAAGUCCAGAUAAAAUUUUGUAGUCUCACUGUAAGUUGUUAAGACAAGAAACAAUUAAUGCGCGCGUAACACUUUUGUUUUAAACCUGACCCGUGCUGGUUCAUUCAUUGAACAGCACUUACAUUUUCGGCAUGCGUGGCGUCGGUAAAACAAACGUAUCCUUUAUCGUGUCAAAGCUGUAAACACCUGCAGGUCUUUGCAAGCCAAGUAUGCUGCCCUAUAAAAGCCAAACAUUCAAUAUUUCAUUGUGCUCAAAAGUGAACAGUAAAACAUUCUGCUAAAUACAAAGUUGCUGUUGAAGAAGCGUUCGAAAAGCUGAACUCCUGCAAAAGUCAUGAAGAAUUUCUUGGUCAUCUUGCUUAUGUUAUCUACCAUGACCCUGUGCUUGGCGAAGCCGAAAUGGAUAUGGUUCGAUGAGGAAGAGAAGAAUGAUGGGGAUUUUAACGAUGAAGUCUUGACAAGAGAAAAAGGAAAGAAUGAUGAGAAUCUGAUGAAUAAACCCCCGAAGUGUCCUGAUAAUAAUGGUGCACCGUUUUGCCGUUACAAGGGAAAGAGACUAAUUUCUAGGAAUUAAUAUCAUACAGUAUAUGUAAACUAUUCAUGAUAUUGAUAAUAAACGUAUCAAUCGAUGAUUUUUCUCUAAAUAGGUUAUUUCUCAUCUUUCUUUGUUCAUUAGAAUUAACGAAUUAACGGUUACUUGCCCUAUUUCCGGGUUUGUGCGGUCCAUUCCUUUAUAUAAUUGCCUGGCCAUUGCGCGUGUAGUCCAAGCGCUUGCGCACAAGCGCUUUUGGCGAAACCCCAGCUUCGUUUAGUAAACCGAUUUGCUCGUCUGUAACUGGAACAAAACGGGGGAAAUUUGUUUUGGUCUACGGCACGCAGGCGAGUCUGGAGGUGAAUAGUGCAAGGGUAUCCGAAGCUGAGCGACCAAUCAAAUUGCACGGAAAACACUAUCCACCUCCUGAGUAACCUGCGAGCAGGCGUUUACUCCAACCCAAAUAAACACCUGCUCGCAUGGUACUUCACGAAUAAAAGUUUCGUAUAUCUGCUCACCUGCGAACGGGCAUGCUCUGGGACGAGAUUGAUAUCUGCUCAAAUAGUUUUCUUUAACAAGACAUUUUAUUUCGAAAGUGACAAUGAACAGUUUACACCGGGUUUCGACGUCAUUUCCCAAAUAAUUAUAUAACUGAAACAUUUACAUUAAAUUUACCAAAUUGGCAAAUGCAGCGUUACGUUAGAUAAAGUUUUCAAAAAUACUUGAAUGUGUGUUUGAACGACUUAUCAACCAAUUCAACAGAGGAAAAGUCACAUAUAAGAACAGCUUUUACUUUUUUUCCAUUUUCGGUUUUUCCGGCCAAAUAACAGGUAUGAUAAGCGUGUCUUCUCGUUGUCACAUGGGCUGUUCCUUCACUUCUUUGGUGUAAGACGUAGUUACCGACGUUCUUUGACUUCGCAAGCUGACCGAUGUGUGUUGCGUUAAUCUCCGUGGACGGCUGUUUCUUUCUUUACCAACGAAAGCGAGCAAAGUUCGCCUGUAAUCGGGUAGACGUAGGGCAUAUAGAAUUGGGUUAGCCCCAAAAUUCAACAUGGCAAUUGGUACGUAACAAUAGGAGAGGUUAAACAAUGUGUACGCGAUUUCAUCUUCACCAAGGUAGCCCAAUCUCGUUAGAAAAUCCAGUUGUUUCAAUAAGAAAAAAGGAAAGGCGGUGAGGAAGAGAAUCAGCGUAAGAAUCAUCACAGUCUUUGCGAUAUCCUUGUGCUUGGCAUUUUGAGGAUUUCCAGUGCUUCGUCCACUUCGAAUUAUCUCGAACGCAACUUGGAUAUUCAAAACUAUUUGAACGACAAGUGCGAUUUGCAGUACCCCUAUACGAGCUGUCAAAAUUUUUAAGCUAGUACGCCAUUCUGCAGGGUAAAUAAGCCAUACGAUGCAGCUGAAGCCCAACAGACAUGCGAAGAGCCAGAGCGAUAUACAAACUAAUGCAAUCCUUGGCGUUGUGAGGCAGUAGCGACUUUUUAGCGGAUAUUUUGUGAGUAGGAAAAUUUGCACAGCGAAGAAUGUUAACAAUAGGAACGAAGCAGAAACACUAAAUCCCCAGCCAAAAUUAACAAUCCCGAAGUACAGAUUGCUUGGAGUUUUGUAGAAAUAUGUAUCUCCCCACAAACAGAAAGCUGAUAUGCAUGAAAUUAGGUCAGCGGUCGCCAAGUUGAGUAUGGUUACCCAUGGUCCUCUUCGAAGUAUUUUCAAAGGGUCGAUAACAAUGGCAAUGAUUACAGCCAAGUUGAGUAGCAUGCCCACUGCUGCCACAGACAUAGUGGCGAUUCCGAUUUUCGUCAUGUCUUCCCCAGUAAGUUGAUACCUUUGCUGUAUAAGAGAAUAUAAUUUAAAAAAAAUUGUUUCUGGUGUUAUGCACCUAGGUGAAGAUAUAUGUUUGGUGGUGGGAAUAGAACCCGCGACUUUUGGUUUGCUAGUCUGUUGCUCUACUAACUGAGCUAGAGCAUUGGUUUGAGCCACCGACUUGACCUCGUGGCUCAGUUGGGAGAGCAUUAGAUUAGCAAACCAAAAGUCGCGGGUUCAAUUCCCACCGCGGUCAAGGAAAUUUUUUCAGCCUGCCCGGUGUGGACACACUCAGAGACAACAUCAAAGUAAUAAACACCUUAGUUAAUAACAUAGCUGGUUUGGAAACUCACUAGAAUAACAAUAUAACUCAUUAUCUAUGUUAAUCAACGUUUAUUCAUAAAUCUGGUCGUUCACCGUCACGUGCGUAUUGUAUUUUUGCCCAGCUAACCAAUAGCAAUGUCUUAAGAAAGUCACCUAUCCGUGACUCGGACAAUAGGGUAAGUUGGAAAUUGCUAUUGGUGGAUUUGGCAAAAAUACAAUACACACGUGACGAUGAAGGACCAUAUUUAUGAAUAAACGUUGACCAACAGUCCAACAUAGAUAAUGAGUUAUGUUGUUAUUCUAAUGAGUUUCCAAACCAUCUAUUCUAUUAACUAUGUAAACACAAAGUAAUGAUUAUUAAUAAUGCUUGUGAAACUCAUUAAUAAUUCAUGAAGAAAACACAAAACAAAUCAUGAGCGUGAAGGAGUUUAUAUCUGAUACAAAAUCAUCUCAACAAAAAUCAUUUAUUUACUUUAAACUGUUAAACUAAACUACCGCGCAUGCACACACAGCAGUUGCGCUCUAAGCAUGAGGGUCAGCUCAUCACUAUAGAGUGUGCCAAAUACUUUUUUAUGGCAAUCUUCUCUCCCAACAAGGGUUGAUGAUAGAAAGUACUCUUUGUUGCACUCGUUCAAUAACAUCACUAAGGUAUUAAUUAGGUAGUGCAUAAUGAAGGACCUGAGUAUUAUAUUCAAGGAUGGUCUUACACAGGUACAAUAAAAGAGCAGUAACGCUGACGGUGGGGUUUUUGUUCGUUUGAGUUGGAUGAUAAAAUAAAUCCGCUUGUUUGCCUUCUUAACGAUAUUGUUGACAUGCUGGUUCCAUUUUAGAUCGUUACUAGUCGUUAGGCCCAAGAUUUUGACAUGAUUAACAAUGUCUAAAUUACUGCCGUUGAUACGGAUAUUUGAAAAAUCUAAUUCUUCCUCUCCAAAGUGUAUGAAAAAUCUAUUCGUCCCUUCUAAACUCUUUACAUUUGGUGCGUUACUGGUUAUGUUGGAGGAAAACAUGGUCCAAAUACAAUAGCUGUUAAUGAGAUUCUUUUGUUAGCUCUCCUCCAAUAUGGCCGCCAUGACAUCAAUUGCAAACCAAGAAUUGAGUUGCAAACGUUACAUUUGGCGCUAUUGAGUUGUAGCCGAUACAACACGGUCGCUCAUGUUGUAAAUAGUUUGAUAGUUUCAAGGAAUUUUUUUCUUUCACUAAAUGCUUCAUAGUUUUUUCUUAAAUUGCACUCUUUGCAUGAUUACCCCCCUCGUUCCCAGGAUAUGUAAUGGACCACCCCUUAGAUUUGACUUCUACCGCUAACUAGAAAAGUGAUGGGGGUUGCGGGGGAUUCGCGCAAAGGAACACAAAAGAAAAAAUUCGUGCAAAUAGGAAAGCAAAGAAAAACCCUUAAAAUUCGGGAGAAAACAUUCGAGGGGGGGGGGGGGAAUUGUGCAAGCUGAAUUCUCCCUCCCCCUUUUAACCUAAAGGUAACGGUGAGGGUAGUGGAAGUCAAAUGUAGACUUCACUAAUGUCAGUAAGAGGAAUAUGUAGACAGGUCCGAGGACACUCUACAUGCGAAAACAGUCUUUUAAAAAAGGUGGCUCCCUACACUUUUUAAAUUAAAGAUUUUCUGAUUUGGAUAUGAUUUUCUGGACAAUUAUUACUUGUUUAAAAUCGAAGAGUAUCUGACUGGCAUAACAUAAUAACUAAAGAGUUCAGAAUUUUUCAAAAACUACUCCUAACAGCCGUUGCUAUGGCAACAAUGACGUCACAACAAGGCGGAUAUUUUAUGUUUAAAGUAAUUUAACUCGAAAAAAACUUCGGUGACCCCCAUUUUUUAUUUUAUAAAAUGAUUUCUAUUGGUAUUUUGAAUUAUUUUCAUGAAUUAAAAAUGCCAAAAUUUUUUAAGAUAGGAAAAUGUGAAAACUCGUAAUGAUUUUUUUUUAAAUCAUGAAAAUAAUUCAAAAUAAUAAAAGAAAUCAUUUUAUGAAAUAAAAAUGGGGGUCACAUAUGUCCUUCUUGUAGGUCUAUUGGCAGCUCUUCCUGUUGUUAAUCAAUAAACGGCGAAGGUGUAUUACUGGGGAGAAUGCUACACUGCACCAUCCCAGUCUCUUCCUCAGAGUGACUGUACAAUGUUCAUCCUUAUCUUAAAAUUAGAAUUAGGGUUAGUACUAUAGCGCAUGGGUAAGGAUUAUGAUUAUUUUCCUAAAUGAUUUCUAUUAAUAAUUUGUUUCUACGUUGGUAUGUGCAGUCAACCUGAGCAAGAGACUGGGCUGUCUGUUCAGUGGUAUUAGAGAACUUUUAUUGAAGUUUUAUGUGGUUUUCGUAGUGUAAAUUCCUAGUUAUAAUUUAUGUGUGGGGUUGCCUUGUUGGGACUUCGAGUCCGUCCGCCGAUCCCAUAUCUAACUCGCCUUUGUUUGUUGUAUUAAUAUCUUUUGUUUCGUUCUCACAUAGUAGUGUAAAUUUCGCGAGUUUGAUUAAAGCUUCUUAUUAAAAUAUCCGGCAGCAACGGCAGUACUCCUUAGUUUUUAUGUUAUAUACAAGUCAGAUACUCUUGGUUUUAAAAACAAAUAAUACUCCAGAAAUUCAUAUCCAAAUCAGAAAAUCUUUAAUUUCUAAAAAAGUGUAGCGAGUCACCAAGUCUGCCUCCUCCGCAGGCUCUUGGCACAUAUCAGUCGUAAAUAUAGAUCAGUGGAGGCAGAUCUUGAAUCGUAUACGUGAUGAUGUAAGAUGACACGGAAAACCGCAGAUAACUCAAUUAGUCCGCACAUAUCUGUUCAUGUUUGAAUAACAUUUUCUGCCGUCCAAACUAGCCCUUAGAACAUGAUACUUUUGUCUCAGGUUGAAUCUAAAAUCUUCGUUGGUAAUAGGGUUGGUUAGUGAGUGACUUUACAAUAUGAAAGAUAGGUUUACUGUGUAGAGCAGGAUAACUUAUCACUGUAUCCAGUCCGAGACCAGCGUGAUUGUGCUAAUAAAUCGCUCAUGCAUAACAAUCCUCCGUAUUUAAAAGUCUCCACUUUCAAAGCCAUUUUCGAGAAGCCCAUGUUUACGGACGAAGGAAUGUAUGAAUGGUCUAUUUUCCAUCAUGUUAGUGUAUACGAUCGGAGAAAAGUACAAAUGUAUGCGUUUUCAAACGAAAUCGAUUAGUGACGACGGCUCCUGAACAAAAUAUGAACUAUAUAUACUACCUUCGAAGACGAUGUUGUUCCGUUGCUCGACGCAUUAGAAGAUACGGUUAUCAUGGUAGGCAUACUGGGUGAAGAUGCACCUUGACCUGCUAACGGCAUGCACAGUAAAAAUGCUGUCAACAAUUGAUAUAUCUCGUGUCUACGGCAAAAAACCAUCAUUGCAAAAUACUUUACUUCAGAUCUGAGAGACUGAGCAUAAACAAUGUUCACACUUCUAAGUUCCUUUUAGCAGUGUGCGGUUGAAUUACAAAAAUGCCAAGUUUAUGUGCACACUGACUGUGACGUGAUUUUGAAAUGAACCAAUAGAAGAGUAUGAGAUAAUUUAGUACAUGUCACAUGAAAGUGUUGAUCGCAUUAAAUUUUCUCAAAAAAUCGUUUCACAGAUAAUCCAUUUAUUAGGCCUACACAUGUGUUUUGCAUGGAUGGUACACAUGGCGUGUUGUCGUGAUUAUGGAAAACAUUAAACAGAUCAGCUUUAUCUUCAAGUACACGUUAAAUUAAAUCAAUCUUGUCCUUGAGCUUGUAUUAUUCUGUUUAUGAGAGAUAGAAGUUAGAAUAAAAUAGCCAUCCUGAACUAUUUAUAUGUAAUAUACCAGUAUUGACAACAAACUAAAGCAGUAAUAUGUGUAGAGAUACUAAAUACGACAGAAUUUCGGACCUAAACUCGUUGUUUCUUCCUGAGCUUAUUUGCAUGAGAAGUUCAACAGUUAUAGGCGCAACUCAUGCUACGACGUUUACACUGUAACAGAUAGCUUUCCGUAGCGACGUGAAAAACAUCUAUUCGUACCUUUUAGGAACGCUAUUUUCAGAGGAAUUAUUGUAACGGAGAGAUGUUGUUUCGUUCAGCUUCUGAAAGUAGUAGAUGAGUGAAUGCAUUCUAUAUUUUUUAUUUAAACCCGUCAUCUGUAUGCAAUUCGACUAAACGGCUUCUGAAAAAACGCCGAAACUUUAAGGCGCGUAAAGCUGUAUUUUAUCUAUUGCUCAUGCAUACUCCAUUAAGUCCAUUUUAUUAACCGCUUCUUCGCUUUUGUCGCUAUUUUUUAAAAUUAGCAAUUCAGGGUGAAAGAUCAUUAUUUUGCAAUUUGUACAUUAUAAGUUGGACGUUUGUACCGGGUUUAGUAAGUGCAGGCAUAUGUCAUCAGGUGAAGUUGUUAUUUGAGGCAUGUAGUAAAACACUGACUACCGGAACACCGCCGGAACACCACCGGAACACCACCUAACCCUAACCCCAACCCUAACCCCCAAUCCUAACCCUAACCCCAACCCUAACCCCCAAUCCUAACCCUAACCCCAAACCCUAACCCCAAACAAAAUGGUGGUGUUCCGGUGUUCCGGUGGUGUUCCGGUGUUCCGGUAGUCAGUGUUUUACUACAUGCCGUUAUUUGAUAAUAAAACGUGCUGUGGACAAUGGUUGACCAUGAGGCAUGAGUCCGCAUGACUAUAUUUGAGGGAAUUUAUGCUUAUUUUCUCAUGGAACGUCAAACGUUUUGUAAAGACUUCUACAAACCAAUCUAUGGUUUGAUAUGCUGCAAUUUUCCUCUCCUGACGUAUGUGAACGAGUAGAUGAGUUAUGAAUAUUUAGAUGAUUGUACAUAUAGUGAUAUACUCAGAACAUUCAUAACUUAUUCACUCGUUCACAUCCAUCAGAAAAAAAGAAAAUCGCGCUAGAAAUUGCAGCAAGCAUCUGAUAAAACACGCACUGCGAAUGUUUUAAAUUGCUUCAAAAACGAUCGAUCUAGUAGUAAGUUCACUGGCGAAGUAAUUAAGUCGAAAAGUUAUAUAAAUCAAAGGAAAUCUCUUUCACAUAUAAAGAAUACGACACACUUAUGAUUUUUCUUUGUGUUUUCCUCAUGAAUUAUUAAUGAGUUUUUGAAGGCCGUUUAACGGUACCGUAUCGUUUUCUUUUGUUUGAAAGUAAUUAGUUCCAUCAGCAUUUGGCAGUUAGGGUUAGGGUUGACAUAAUUAUGGACGCAAGUCAACUCUGACCCUAUAAAUUAUAACACAAAUUUGGCAGCAAGACUGGACUGAGUGUUAUUGUUCUUAAUUAACAUCUGGAGAAUAGUUCAGAAAUGUCUUAAUUCAUAUCAUCGCCACUCCUUUUGCACAAACUUGAAAAAGUUCGUGAACAAAAGUUUCACGCCAACUAAAUGAUUCGCACGAAUCACGAUUUUUCAUUAGCGCAUUACGCUUUCCAGUUCACCGAUAUAACACAAAUUGAUCUGGAUCUAAAUUAAAAUCCUGCAGAUUAACUUUUUCUUGUGAUUGAAAACAGAAAUCUGGCGACGUGCACCAAAACAAUUACUGCUACGUGUCGCGCAUAAUUCGUCUGUGAAUUAAGAUCUUAAGAUGAUAUUCAAAAUGUACAUCAACACCGUGAUUAAGUUCAAUCAUAUUCCAGUCUCUUCUGUUCAUGUUUAUUCAAAUUUGCGCACGGUACGAGGAAUUUUUCGCCCCGUAGUCUUGAAAUAUUAAUAAGCAAUUCUAUAAUUAUCUUCUUGACUGGAUAAAUAUUUGUGUUUUGACAUGCUGAUGUUAUUCCAACUUAUUUGUAUGCAGCGAUGGUAAUCUGGGCUUAUGAGUUAUGUUCAAAAUCUCAGUUGAAUAGACACCCAUGCCCUCCUCCGCAAGCAACUCUAUAGUUACAGCCAUAGAUAUCUUAUAUACACUAGAUAGCGCAUCUCUUUUAGUAAAAUUGAAGCCAAGAAUAUUCCAGCGGUUACCCCCAUUUGAAUUGUUACCCAAUUUUUGAAUUGCAAAAUAAUUAGAUGCACUAUCUAGUGUAUAUAAGAUAUCUAUGGUUAUACAGCUGUUAAUAAUUAUAUUGUACUCAAAAAAUUUUUCCAAACAAAUUUUGCCUCACGUUCGUUCAAACAUAUUUGACAACUUUAGAUAUAACUCACAAGCGUCGUGACAAUUGUUCUAGUUUACCACGAGUUUACAGAGUCAUAGAAUAGAAUCCUCGUUGACAUCAGUAAUCAUCACUGAAGAGGUCACCCUACGGAAAUAAAUGUGCGGUUUGAUUUGAACAAAGGGAGUUUAGGUUUUUGUCGAGGGUCGAGUGUCGAGGGUCCAAUGUCGAGGGUGAGGGUAAAAAGUCGAGGGUGAGGGUAAAAAGUCGAGGGUGAGGGUAAAAAGUGGAGGGUCAUAUACAAAAGUCGAGGGUUGUAUUUACGACAACUAAGACAAUUACUAACGAUAAAAGAGUUUUUAAAACGGUUUUUCUCCUUAUGUAAAUCAUGAAUUGAGGGACAAUUCUGGUCUAGAAACUAACUCAUUAAGUUUAUGGUUUGGGUCGUCUGGUUAAAAAGUUUCACGCACGCAGCAUGUCUUCUAGCGAGUAAUGUCUCCAGGCCACUUUUGAUUAACUUAAGGCAUUCUUAGUAAAAAGGCGGAAUUUUUUCAUUAAAAGCAAAGUUAAAGAGUAUUUAUUAUCAAUAGUACACUUAAAAGAAUUUCUAAACGUAGUAUAAUUUCAUAAACAGGCCAAUGGCAAUGUUCAACCUCGCAUCAAGCAAAGGUCUCCGUCCCGCCGCAGGUAUGGAGACCCUUGCUUGCGAGGUUGGUCAAUGACAAUGUUUGGUUAAUCACUUAGCGUUCAUUGGUUUCUUGAAACAGUGGCAUGUCUGCACCGCGCUAACCGCGCUCCGAUCUAGCAGAAAACACACAAGUUUUUUAAUCAUAACUUGCUAUUGGUAAUAUAUUUUGCCUUAAUAUAUUGUCAUUACUGGCUUGAGGAUUACAGUUACCCGAUAAUCUGUGCUGUUACGUUAAUUUGAUAAGAAAGCAAAGAGACCGUUCUCAUAUUAGACAUAAACAUGUUAACUAGCGAGCGUGAAGGGGCUUAGAAAAUAAUCGCUUAGCUAGAAAAUUUACGCAAGGUAGUAUCUUUUAAAAGUUAAUGUAGUUCUGCAUACAUAUAUAUGAUAAGUCCAUGUCACAACAUUAAACAAGUUAUUUUGCCCGCAAAUUUCGACCCUCGACUUUUUUUAUGACCCUCGAAUUUUUACCCUCGCCCUCGACUUUUUACCCUCACCCUCGAUUUUUUACCCUCAUCCUCGACAUUGGACCCUCGACCCUCGACAAAAACCUAAACUCCAACAAAGGUAACCAAGCAUAUUAGAAUUAUAGACAUGAGUGAAUACCCAUUGUACAUUUUUCUAAUGCUUAGUUACCUUUGUUCUUUGACUAUGCUCCUGUGAACUACAGUGGAGCUAAACUUGAGCAACCGUAGCCAGGCAUAUAUGAGUUAUCUAUAGACCGUCUGCAUGGGAUCAAGUCAUAGCGCCGAUAAUAGUGACUUUUUCGAGUAUUCUAAAAUUGGCCGUUGAUUGGUAUAACCCAGCUUAAUGAUGAGCUAAUGGCCGUUUUCCAUUUCAACCGUAUCGAAGCGUAGCCGAUAUUUCUUUGUUUCCUCAAAAGAAAAUUCUACUAUACGUUAUGUUACGGUUGAAAUGCAUGGGAAAACGGCCCAGAAACGUAGCAAAUACAGUAUGAUGAAUAUUUAAUAUCAAAUGGCGCGACGGGAUUACUUAUGAAUAUUAUGAAUAUUGUAGGAAGUAAUAGGAUGAUAUGGAGGAUAAGAUGCGCUUACGAUUACGCGGACGUGACAAAAAAAAUAAACCGUUAUUUUUGUUUUGCCGGUUUACUGAUUUGUUUUUCAUCUGCAUCAGUCCUCGUCGAAAAUUAAUAUUCAUACUCGUGUUGUCCUCACGCCCGCGCGCUAGAUUUAUCUCAUAUUAUUUACGUUGCUCAGGUUUAUUCUCGUAUCGUUCUUCGUACGUUUCUGAUAAAAAAAUCUUUAAUUAUUGAUAUUAAUUAAAAGUUUUCUGAGAACACAAUUUAUCGUUGAAAAACUUGAUUUGUACAAAGAGAAUACAAAUUGCUAUAUGGAAACGUGCCAAAGCAAAGCGCGUCUUUGCGGUCUUGUACGUGAGGGAGAUUACAAGGUCAAAUCGAACAUAGUCAUAGAACAAAACAUUUGACAAGUGCCGUCGAAGUCAGACUUGUUAUGUUGACCUGUUCAGUAGUUUUAUUAUGUAGACCCUUAUAACCUUAGGUAUAUAUUGUUCGUCGCUAUAGCUACACUUGGAACCACACUUUCAAAGUCUUCCCUGUUCCAUAUUCUAUGUUAAAAAUUCUUGCCAAAGUUUUAAGGUACUUUUCACGCACUCAAUGUGAUGAAUGAGUCCGGGUAAUAAAACAGCAAUAUUACGAUCAUUUGAUGUACCAGGCCUAGAAAAUAUAUUUUUCUUCUAGCUGGCAGCAAAAUUCAGAAAUAGAAAUUUCCGGUGUGUAUGUAUAAGUCCUCAUGAUAGCCAAAUGUAUAAGUCCACAUUGUGAUUCUAUAGUAGUAUAGAUUCCAGAGAGAGUAUGGUGGCGCACAUUGUGAUGCUACAGUAGUAUAGAUUUCAGAGAGAGUAUGGUGGCGCACAUUGUGAUGCUACAGUAGUAUAGAUUUCAGAGAGAGUAUGGUGGCGCACAUUGUGAUGCUAUAGUAGUAUAGAUUUCAGAGAGUAUGGUGGCGCACAUUGUGAUGCUACAGUAGUAUAGAUUUCAGAGAGAGUAUGGUGGCGCACAUUGUGAUGCUACAGUAGUAUAGAUUUCAGAGAGAGUAUGGUGGCGCACAUUGUGAUGCUAUUGUAGUAUAGAUUUCAGAGAGAGUAUGGUGGCGCACAUUGUGAUGCUACAGUAGUAUAGAUUUCAGAGAGAGUAUGGUGGCGCACAUUGUGAUGCUACAGUAGUAUAGAUUUCAGAGAGAGUAUGGUGGCGCACAUUGUGAUGCUAUUGUAGUAUAGAUUUCAGAGAGAGUAUGGUGGCGCACAUUGUGAUGCUAUGGUAGUAUAGAUUCCAAAGAGAGUAUGGUGGCGCACAUUGUGAUGCUAUAGUAGUAUAGAUUUCAAAGAGAGUAUGGUGGCGCACAUUGUGAUGCUACAGUAGUAUAGAUUUCAAAGAGAGUAUGGUGGCGCACAUUGUGAUGCUAUAGUAGUAUAGAUUUCAAAGAGAGUAUGGUGGCGCACAUUGUGAUGCUAUAGUAGUAUAGAUUUCAAAGAGAGUAUGGUGGCGCACAUUGUGAUGCUACAGUAGUAUAGAUUUCAAAGAGAGUAUGGUGGCGCACAUUGUGAUGCUACAGUAGUAUAGAUUUCAAAGAGAGUAUGGUGGCGCACAUUGUGAUGCUAUUGUAGUAUAGAUUUCAGAGAGAGUAUGGUGGCGCACAUUGUGAUGCUAUGGUAGUAUAGAUUCCAAAGAGAGUAUGGUGGCGCACAUUGUGAUGCUAUAGUAGUAUAGAUUUCAAAGAGAGUAUGGUGGUGCACAUUGUGAUGCUAUAGUAGUAUAGAUUUCAAAGAGAGUAUGGUGGCGCACAUUGUGAUGCUAUAGUAGUAUAGAUUUCAAAGAGAGUAUGGUGGUGCACAUUGUGAUGCUAUAGUAGUAUAGAUUUCAGAGAGAGUAUGGUGGCGCACAUUGUGAUGCCAUAGUAGUAUAAAUUUCAGAGAGAGUAUGGUGGCACACAUUGUGAUAAACUUCCAUCUUGGUACAAGACAAUCUCGACUUGCAAAAUGCUUUUGUAAACACAAUAAGUAAAUUAUAUGGCAUUCCAGUAUAUGAGAUGACAAACAUUUCCUGCUAUAGGCCAAGGUGUAAGAAAAUUUCCUGGGAAGAUAUUUUGUUAGAAAUUUCCUGGCAGCGGUGCUGCUGUCGCUUCCGGACAUUUUCCUGCUCAGCGAUAUGCUUAUACGUCUUAUAUAUGCUAGCAAACCAAAGGUCAUGGGUUCGAUUCCCACCGCGUUCAAGAAAACUUUUCGCUUGCCCGGUGUGAACACACUCAGAGAAACAUCGCAAUCAAAUAUAUAACUAUUUGUCAUUUACCCAAGCUGUGCCCUUUUUAUUCAACCUCUUUGAGGAUGCUGCAUAUGCCGGCUUUCUCAUCCUCUCGACAUUCCCUUCUUAUGAAAUUCGGCCGUGAGACUUUGCCCCAGCAGUUGUGUUAAAAAUCCCCAGAUGAGUCUAAUCUCUUGCACAUGAACAUAGCAAACACCUGUUCAAAUAUAGAGUAAAUCUGACAACUGAAGAGAUUACAUACAGUAUAAUCCGCGGAUUAUAGUACACUUAAUAUUUAUUUAUUACACUUAAUAUUUACGUUCACCAUAGAUACAGCCACAAUACAGGCUGUUCCAGAAAAUAGCUUUGUUCCAGAUUUUUACACAGCUGUUAGAGAGCUGUGAGCAUCGUAAAUUGAAUCUAAGAGACAAAUUUUGAGACAAAUAUUCUAAAAGCUCACUCACACUCAGAGAAGAGUGGAGGUUCAAUCUGAGCUUCCCUUGAGUGUCAGUGCUGUUUUUGAAUAGCUGAAGGGUUAGUGUCGUACCUUACUAUGACCUAUGUGACUACUCGCCCUCCAGCUAUUCAAAUACAGCACUGACACUCAAGAGAAGCUCAGAUUGAACCUCCACUCUUUGAGUGUGAGUAAGCUUUCAGAAUACAGGCGUAAGAUUACUAAACUUGAUCUACCGGGUGCCCCCCCCCCAAAAAAAAAAAACAACUGGACACUGUUUGAUUUCAUGUAACGUAAAAGCUAUAAAAUCUUUCGUAAUGACAUAAAGAUCAUUGCAUUAAAAAAGGACUAAGUGCCCCCCCCCAAAAAAAAAACUGGACACUGUUUGAUUUCAUGUAACGUAAAAGCUAUAAAAUCUUUCGUAAUGACAUAAAGAUCAUUGCAUUAAAAAAGGACUAAGUGCCCCCCCCCCCCAAAAAAAAAACUGGACACUGUUUGCUUUCAUGUAACGCAAAAGCUAUAAAAGCUUUCGUAAUGACAUAAAGAUCAUUGCAUUCAAAAAGGACUAACUUAUAUUUUGAUAUAUAACACUUGAAUUUACAUGCAAUAUUGAGCGAGAUACGACCAAAAUAAAGACAUUUAUCAUUUAACAAGUAUAACUACAUCGGUAAGAGUUGUUCAACGUUCAAACAUCAAUAGCGCAGUUCUUCUAAACAUCAAUAGCGCAGUUCCGGUAGUAGAAGCGAUGUUACGGGCGGCUAUUUGUGCCUCUUGAUACUUUACACAACUAAUACAUGAUUUGGGUGAAUAUAAUUAGACUUUAUUUUAAAGCCAUAACAGUCGUUCUACUAUAGACCAAUUUACUCUUAGUGUCAAAAUUCAUCUCUUAGAUUUUGAUACCUGUCACGUUUUAGGGGGAUCCAUGGGCGUACCAAUCUCGUCGUGGCAAAGUGGGAUCAUAUAAACAGCCUCUUAUUCAGCCUUUGAUCCCUUGGGAGUGAGGCAGCACUUUCCUUGCGAUAGUAACUUCUUCUAGACUUUUGUAAUUUUGUAUUCCUUUGUAUUUUAAACAUAAACCUUACUCUAAUCCUAACCCUAUCUUAAUCCUUUCCCUAAUCUAAAUCCUAAUCCUAAAAGUCUAAAAAUAGUAACUCCCUCUAAAACGUGACUGGCAUAUGCUUAGAUUAAAUUUCCGAUGCCCACUAAUACAUAGCUGUGUAAAAAUCUCGAACAUAUACCUAUUGCAUUUUUUUUCGGGACAUCUUCGUGGGAAUUAGCGGUUAAAGAAUUGGAUUAUAAGGAAAGAUCCAUGCGAACCACAUUCCAGCGGCUUGCGCCCAUCACACCUUUACAAAUAGUGGUGAAAAAAUAAUAAUCUUUUGUGAAAAAAUAAUAACGUUUUGCUUUAGACCGUAACACUUUGCGCGCCAAUCAGCAAAUAACCAUAUGUUGCGCGAGCAGCGCAUGCAAGGCAGACCUCAACAGCGGCACCCAACAUUCGGAUCAUGCAUGGUUUACUAGCUAUUGACUAAAAAGGUACAGUUCAGCCUUUUGAUUGAUGGUUUUUAAGGUAUAUUUCAGCCCUUUUUAUUGAAGAAACUAACUAGGAAAAUCAAUUAUGCAUAAUUCAAAAUCAGUAAACUCAUUGUUUUUAACAAUAAAAAUGUUUUAAAAUGUUAAAAACAUUAAGUUUGCCGAUCUUGAAUUAUGCAUAAUUGUUAGUUUCUUCAAUAAAAAGGGCUGAAAUGCGCCUUAAAAAUCAUCAUUCAAUGAACUGUGCCUUUAAUAUAUAACCUCAUUAGUUAUUUUCCUUCAAAUGGCGUUCAUAUCACAGACCCAGCUCGAUUUGUAGGGUGGUAAAAGCACAGCGUCUGCUCAGCUUUAGUAGCCCAUUAAAGCAGGCGGUCUACACCUGAACAGCGGGCGAGACGAAGAACGCUUCGCCCGACUUUUAGGUGCGCCUCGCGGGUCUGCCUGCAUGCAGGCUAGAGUUGGGUAGUUACAAUCUGAAUUUCAAUAUCUAUUUCAGCAUUGUUGUGGAAGUGCGAUAGAAGACUUCUUGAACAAUUGUGAAAUUCAUACAUGGAGGUACGAUUUUACUCUUUAUUCUAUAUAUAGAGAUACAAGAUAUUCAAUACCACAUAUAUGUUAGACUAUUCCACUUCAGUGGGUCCUCGGAAAAAUUUAUGUAUAUCUAUUGUGACUAAUUAAAAUUAGCGCAAAAUAUCUUGGCUGAUAGACAGCGGCAAGCCGAAGAUGCGUAACGAUAUUUUUGCUGCGGUGGUGGCGCAACGGUUGAAAUUGCAUUGCCGUCGCACAAGGUGGCUACACCUGUCUCUUUUGUGGCAAUGCAUAAUUUAUGACUCAUUUAUAAUUCAUUUCAUCAGAUGGUCAAGAAGCCUUGACCUCACCCACUGACUUCACCCCCUGACCUCACCUCCUAAUUCUCGGCUAUCGUGGCUCAAAUUCUCAAAAUGAAAUGAUUUGAAAUUUCGGCAACUAUUGCAGAAGGUUCGCGUUGCCGUCGCAAAACAUGAUCUACACAAGCAAUUUUUCUCUCGCAACAGCAAUGUCAAGAUUUUACCGCCAUUGCAUUGCGAUCGCCAGAAAAUAUUGCCCAUGUAUCGGUAGCUUGAAUCAAAUGAUCCUAAUGUUGCUGUUUUAUUGUUAUUAUUAAAUACUAUUUAAAACACGACAACGAGUGUUUUGAAUAGCUUAAAAUACGACUACAAAAGAAUACUAAUUAGGAUGAACAAUUAUAUAAUAAUACUAAUAGGAUGAACAAUUAUAUAAUGCCACAUGCAUGCAUGUGUUUUAUCAGAUAUAUAAUCACUCCAUGACGUGACAUAUUAUAGCUGAUCAUGACAUGUUUGCCACAAGGUUCAUGAAUUAUUAAUGAUGUAUUUUAAUGAUCUUUAAACACUGUAAACUUUCACAUAAAUGAUUUUCGAAGGGCCGCGCGGAAAAUACAUACAUCAUAAGAAGAGAAUAAAUUAUUACUAAUAUAUCAACUAAAUUAUACUUAAGUUCUUUGUAUGUUUGCAUGGUGAUAAAAUAUAAUAGGUUUUGUUUGUGGAAACACCACGUAAAUUUAUUACUGCAAAAUUAAAUUAUACUUAUUUACAAUAUUUGAAUAUAAAAACAAUUAAGGUUUAUAUGCUGAUGUAGAUGUGAUAAUUUAAUAGCUUAUGGACAAUUUUUAAACUUAUAAUAGUUUUGUUUGUGGAACCACCACGUAAAUUUAUUACUGCAAAGCUUUCGAUCCGUAAGCCCGGAUCUUCAUCAGUGCUAAUAAUAUGUUAUUAUUAUAUAUUAUAUAUAUAUAAUAAUAUGUUAUCAUAUUAUUAGCACUGAUGAAGAUCCGGGCUUACGGAUCAAAGCAAUAAUAAAUUUACGUGGUGUUUCCACAAACAAAACUAUUAUAUGUUUUAUCGCCAUGCAAACAUACAAAGAACUUAAUUUUUAAACUUUUUGACUCUCUUAGGAUUUUCAACAAGUUUAUUGGGAGUUGUUCCAAUGCGUUGCUCCUCUGUAGUACUGUACGAAAAGCUAUUUUUCAAGAAAUUCGUUUCUGGUUUAGGUUGAAACAGCUUUAAAUUACUACUGUGCAGUUCGUAACCACUGUUUUCAUAAGUGUGAAAUAAUUGUGUUAUAUAUUGUGGAAGCAUUAAUUGUUGUUCAGAAUUGCGCGAAAUUUGUUCACAAUAUAUGGCGGCCAAACUUUCAAGAUAUUGCGGUUGUGUAAUGUGCUUUUUCUUGUCACGUUCAUGCAAAUGCAUGUUCAAGGGUCCUUUCCAAUGGAAUUAAAGGUUUUCUCAAGAGAUCAAAAUUAGAAUUUUGAAUUGCCCUUUAGAAAAGUGCUUAGAAGAGGAAAAGAAGCGACCACUUUGAAAGUUUGUUUGAUUCCUAAUAUAAUUUAGAGAACGCGCAUGCAAAUCGGAUAUAGGAAUGAAAGAAAACUGAUGCAGGAUUUCGGAAAUGUUCUUUUUAUUAAACGAAGUAUAGGGUAAUUCUCUUCGAUUCAGAAUUUUAAACAAAGUGCUGACUUUUGGCGGUGCAUUUGGAAAGUAUACAGAAUGCAAAUAUCAUGUUGCCAUCUGUGCAAAAAGCCAUCUGCAAAAAGUCAUUAACUUUGUGAUAAUUUUAUUUUUGUGUCAUACUUUGGGUGUCAAAUCAAUCAUUUAUCCAAUAAUAUCGAUAGAACACGUUUAUGAAAUAUCUUGAUAAAAAGUCCAGAUGAAAUUUUGUAGUCUCACUGACACUGUAAGUUGUUCACGAAACAAUUAAUGCGAGGGUAUUACUUUGUUUUAAACCUAACCCGUAGCUACUCUACUAGUUCAUUAAUUUUGGACAACACUUCGGCACUGCAUGGCGUGGGUAAAACAAACGGUUCCUAUACCAAAGCUGUGAACAUCUGCAGGUCUUUGCAAGACAAGUAUGCUGCUCUAUAAAAGCCAGGCUGAAUAUUCAACAUUUCAUUGUGCUCAAAAGUGAACAGUAAAACAUUCUGCUAAAUACAAAGUUGUUGAAGAAGCGUUCGAGAAACUGAACUCCUGCAAAAGUCAUGAAGAAUUUCUUGGUCAUCUUGCUUGUGUUAUCUACCAUGACCCUGUGCUUGGCGAAGCCGAAAUGGAUAUGGUUAGAUGAGGAAGAGAAGAAUGGUGGGAAUUUCAACGAUGAAGUAUUAACAAGAGAAAAAGGAAAGAAUGAGGAGAAUCCGAUGAAAGAAUGGAAGAAGAGAAUUAAUCCUACAUAUGGGUGUACA
Non-coding RNA from Paramuricea clavata, 17985 nucleotides. The record is from the annotation of a GenBank genome assembly. Lineage: Eukaryota; Metazoa; Cnidaria; Anthozoa; Malacalcyonacea; Plexauridae.